RNAcentral lists this long non-coding RNA (468 nucleotides) under Chinchilla lanigera (long-tailed chinchilla). RNAcentral's name for it is "lncRNA (ENSCLAG00000026094.1)". The record is from RNAcentral. Lineage: Eukaryota; Metazoa; Chordata; Mammalia; Rodentia; Chinchillidae.
GAAGCACUGGGGAAGUCACAGCUGAGCUGAACUAAGGUGCUUUUACGUACAACAUCCCAUUUAGUUCUGCCGUGAGCCUUAGCGAUACAGGCAGAAGAAAACUGAACCCAGGGCGGCACCUCUCAAAUUUUAAUGCCCAUACAAAGCAACUGAAGCUUCAGUUAAAACGCAGACUCUGCCGUGGAAGAUCCAGAGUGCCGCCCAAAAAUGCGCAUUUCUAACAUGUUUUCAGGCAACACCGAUGCUGCUAUGAAUUGUGAGAUCUUUGAGAGCAUGAACGAUUCCAAUUCACCUGGCCAGGAAACAUCAGAAAGCAUCAGGCAGAGUGGAGAGAUAAACGGGCGUCCUACAUUUGCUGAGUGGCUAAUUUUCAAGCUAUGGACAGAGAUUUGCAGCAAUUCCCAGACUCUCCCUUCUCCCAUUUUAUCACUCUGGAACCUUCCCAGGGGUUUAUUAUCUGUGGAAUGA